This 253-nucleotide ribosomal RNA is filed under the name uncultured bacterium. RNAcentral's name for it is "partial 16S ribosomal RNA". It matches the Rfam family "Bacterial small subunit ribosomal RNA", at positions 524 to 776 of the family's 1533-position model. The record is from RNAcentral. RNAcentral also lists the same sequence under 1 other name.
UACGUAGGGUGCAAGCGUUAUCCGGAAUUAUUGGGCGUAAAGAGCUCGUAGGCGGUUUGUCGCGUCUGCUGUGAAACCCCGAGGCUCAACCUCGGGCCUGCAGUGGGUACGGGCAGACUAGAGUGCGGUAGGGGAGAUUGGAAUUCCUGGUGUAGCGGUGGAAUGCGCAGAUAUCAGGAGGAACACCGAUGGCGAAGGCAGAUCUCUGGGCCGUAACUGACGCUGAGGAGCGAAAGGGUGGGGAGCAAACAGG